Long non-coding RNA from Suricata suricatta (meerkat), 752 nucleotides. RefSeq lists it as uncharacterized. The record is from RefSeq and is a predicted model, not a curated record. Lineage: Eukaryota; Metazoa; Chordata; Mammalia; Carnivora; Herpestidae. The transcript has 3 exons.
CCAGAGGAGAAAGGGCCCCAGGCUCCAAGAGGCAGUACCAGGGUGGUCCAGGCGGAUGUCCGGAAGCGGGACCCUCUGCUGCAGCAGGGAACCCACGAAGAUCCACAGCUCUGGGGUUUCUGUUUCACCGGCGCCGGGACUUCAGCUCCACCGUGAAAACGACAAUGCGGAGAAGAGGGAUGUGGCCGCUAGAUGGCAGCAGAGGUCAAGUUACUGAACCACCCACCUGUAAGAUAUACGAAGACCGAGCAAGACCCCUUGUGUCCCAGGAAGAAUGUUGAGAGGAGACUUAAGACACCCACCUCACUCUAGGAAUCCGUCCUUCCCAAAAUACCUGCCUUUGACCACUGGAGGGCAGUGCUGGACCAGCCAAAUCUCUUCAGGGGCUCUGCUCCAUCGUUUUUCCCACCUUGCCCAGGCAGAGCAGGAGGCAGCCUCUGGGUGAAAGCCAAAACUGGGGACCACUGGAGCACCCUGCGAGCAGCAGCACAGCCAGCACUGUUACAAUGCUCCCCGCGCCUGGCGUCAUAGGAAUAAAAGGCAGUUCAUUGGAAAGAGGAUUUGGCUCCGUUGGUGACACUGUCCCCUGGGAAAGAGACUGAAAGGAAAACUUGCCUCAUCAUGUCAUUAACCAGGAACAAUCUGUGCCUCUGACCAGGGGUUGCAGACUCCUACCUUUUUCUACCCACUCAGAAGUGAGCUCCUGGCAGCACACACGGUGCUUGGCAAUAAAUGUCUGUUGAAUGAGUGAA